This 31-nucleotide non-coding RNA is filed under the name Mus musculus (house mouse). The record is from RNAcentral. Lineage: Eukaryota; Metazoa; Chordata; Mammalia; Rodentia; Muridae.
AUGUCAUUGGUCGCAGUUGAAUGCUGUGUAG